CCUACGGGGUGCAGCAGUGGGGAAUAUUGCACAAUGGGCGCAAGCCUGGUGCAGCCAUGCCGCGUGUGUGAAGAAGGCCUUCGGGUUGUAAAGCACUUUCAGCGGGGAGGAAGGCGGUGAGGUUAAUAACCUCAUCGAUUGACGUUACCCGCAGAAGAAGCACCGGCUAACUCCGUGCCAGCAGCCGCGGUAAUACGGAGGGUGCAAGCGUUAAUCGGAAUUACUGGGCGUAAAGCGCACGCAGGCGGUCUGUCAAGUCGGAUGUGAAAUCCCCGGGCUCAACCUGGGAACUGCAUUCGAAACUGGCAGGCUAGAGUCUUGUAGAGGGGGGUAGAAUUCCAGGUGUAGCGGUGAAAUGCGUAGAGAUCUGGAGGAAUACCGGUGGCGAAGGCGGCCCCCUGGACAAAGACUGACGCUCAGGUGCGAAAGCGUGGGGAGCAAACAGGAUUAGAUACCCGAGUAGUC
This 465-nucleotide ribosomal RNA is filed under the name uncultured Klebsiella sp. Its description in RNAcentral is "bacterial SSU rRNA". It matches the Rfam family "Bacterial small subunit ribosomal RNA", at positions 338 to 795 of the family's 1533-position model. The record is from RNAcentral. Lineage: Bacteria; Pseudomonadati; Pseudomonadota; Gammaproteobacteria; Enterobacterales; Enterobacteriaceae.